This 1780-nucleotide long non-coding RNA is filed under the name Canis lupus familiaris (dog). Its description in RNAcentral is "lncRNA (ENSCAFG00030013137.1)". Lineage: Eukaryota; Metazoa; Chordata; Mammalia; Carnivora; Canidae. The record is from RNAcentral.
GGCCAACCGAAAAGACAGUGAUAAGUCCCGGAGCGCAAAGAUGAUGACAGCUUGGCUGAGUCCUCUCAUUCAAAGAAGACUGUUAAAAGGCAGUAAUGGGGUAAUCCCCAGUCUGGUACCAUUUGGUAAUGGGGUUUAAUCCUCCUUUUCUUUCCUCUGUGGUUCAACCUGGAGUUUUCCCUAGAUAUUUUGGGUCACUCAUAGCCAGUGAGAUGUGUCACUGAUUUCCUCCAUAGACCGCGUUGGUCUUUGAUCUCUGCACUCUUUGGAACAUCCUUGGGAAAGGAACAGGAGCCAGGGAAGUGUGGGAUCCUGUGGCAAAGGGCUAGGCAGUGUCCCCCCGCCUCCCCAGCCUCAGGUCAUAUUCGGAGGUGUUGGGUUUGAUGGGCAGACAGCUUACCAUGCCCACCUCCUGCCUCAGAGGGUCUCUUAACUCUAGGGAUGAGGGAGAUGACAACAUCAGAAAGAUUACUUUGUCCAGCAACUGGAAAUUGACUCAGAGUAGGAUGGGGGCCGAGAGGAGGCUGAGAGGAUAGCCUUAUGACAUGCCUGAUUGUUGCCCCUAGGUGGUGGUAGUGGAACAAAACGGCUCUUUUCAAGUAAAGAUUCCCAAAAAUUUUAUUUGUGAACACUGCUUUGGAGCCUUUAGGAGCAGUUACACCUGAAGCGGCACAUCCUUAUUCAUACUGGUAAGUCUUUUGCUCAUAGUCAGUAGUUUGUAGUUUUUAGUGUGUGUGUGCAGCUCUUGUUGGGUUUGUUUUUAGAGGCCGAUGUGCUCACUUCAGCAGCACACAUACUAAAAAAUGUUUCAGAGGCUGAGCGUGAGAAAUAGAGGAAGAAGAUAAGUGAAUUAGCUGGAGAGAUUUCUAGUGUCACUGAGACCAGCAGCUUGAGGACCUUUCCCAAUUAGGUGUCUGCACAUUACUAAGAAUUAAACGUUUCUGGGAAAAUAGCUGGAAUGAAGUCCCUGCCUUGUGUACCUCCUAAUACUAACUAUCUCUCUCCACCUGGGCCAGGUGAGAAGCCAUUUGAGUGUGAUAUAGUGAUAUGCGCUUCAUCCAGAAGUACCACCUGGAGCGUCACAAGCGUGUGCACAGUGGCGAAAAGCCCUACCAGUGCGAACGUUGUCAUCAGUGUUUUUCUCGGACAGAUCGAUUACUCAGACACAAACGGAUGUGCCAAGGGUGCCAGUCCAAGACUUUCCGACGGGCAGUUUUCUCUAUAGGCGCAAGGGGCCCUGGGUGGUGGGAGUGAUCAGAAGAAUUUACCGAAGAGCGCACCCUCUCUGGUGUGAUGGUGCCACCACCACCCCCGUCUGUACCUGUCCCCCUCCUGGAGGAGUGGACCCAGGAAACCAGAAGAGUGCAUCAGGGGACAGCGGCCUCAGAGCCUCAGCUCUGUAAAUAAUCUGAGACUAUGAGUAUCUCUGGGACGUUCCUCCAGCAUUCCUGGGUAGGGAAGCUAGUCCCUGGACCCUUGGCUGAGGUUAUAGGUGGGGACUGAAGGUACAGGACCAAGACUGGUGUGGCUCCCACAGCCUUGGACUCCAGCUGGCAGCUGACAUGGAAAGGAUUGGGGAGAGGGAUUUGUUUGUUCUGUUCUGUUCUUGUUUUUGUUUUUCCAAAAGCAAUUUUAGCAGCUACACUGUGGAUACAGGUAAUAUGGAGGCAUAGAGCCCUGGUCAAAGCAGGGACUAUGGCUGGUCCAGCCCUCCCCAAAAUUGAGUUUUUGGUUGCAGUUGAUCCUCAGUGUUCACAGCCCUGCACCUCACCUUCUGUUU